RNAcentral lists this long non-coding RNA (233 nucleotides) under Pongo abelii (Sumatran orangutan). RNAcentral's name for it is "lincRNA". The record is from RNAcentral. Lineage: Eukaryota; Metazoa; Chordata; Mammalia; Primates; Hominidae.
UGCGUGAAAGUGAGCUCAGAUGUAACCUAAACCCAUGGAGCUUGGAAAAAGAAGCAUCUGCCGAGAGGAGCAGGGUUGGUCUUGAUUUGCUUUCAGGGAGUUGCCGCAGAGCUACUUAUACUUUGUCUAAGAAACAUUUAUUUUACAACCCAUGGAGCAGUGCUGGAGAUGUAACUAUUUCUUGAUUGAUGCCUGUGGCACAGCAUCAUCUGCAGAGACCUGCAUUAUGUGAA